This 1413-nucleotide ribosomal RNA is filed under the name Klebsiella variicola. RNAcentral's name for it is "16S ribosomal RNA". It matches the Rfam family "Bacterial small subunit ribosomal RNA". The record is from RNAcentral. Lineage: Bacteria; Pseudomonadati; Pseudomonadota; Gammaproteobacteria; Enterobacterales; Enterobacteriaceae.
ACACAUGCAGUCGAGCGGUAGCACAGAGAGCUUGCUCUCGGGUGACGAGCGGCGGACGGGUGAGUAAUGUCUGGGAAACUGCCUGAUGGAGGGGGAUAACUACUGGAAACGGUAGCUAAUACCGCAUAACGUCGCAAGACCAAAGUGGGGGACCUUCGGGCCUCAUGCCAUCAGAUGUGCCCAGAUGGGAUUAGCUGGUAGGUGGGGUAACGGCUCACCUAGGCGACGAUCCCUAGCUGGUCUGAGAGGAUGACCAGCCACACUGGAACUGAGACACGGUCCAGACUCCUACGGGAGGCAGCAGUGGGGAAUAUUGCACAAUGGGCGCAAGCCUGAUGCAGCCAUGCCGCGUGUGUGAAGAAGGCCUUCGGGUUGUAAAGCACUUUCAGCGGGGAGGAAGGCGGUGAGGUUAAUAACCUCAUCGAUUGACGUUACCCGCAGAAGAAGCACCGGCUAACUCCGUGCCAGCAGCCGCGGUAAUACGGAGGGUGCAAGCGUUAAUCGGAAUUACUGGGCGUAAAGCGCACGCAGGCGGUCUGUCAAGUCGGAUGUGAAAUCCCCGGGCUCAACCUGGGAACUGCAUUCGAAACUGGCAGGCUAGAGUCUUGUAGAGGGGGGUAGAAUUCCAGGUGUAGCGGUGAAAUGCGUAGAGAUCUGGAGGAAUACCGGUGGCGAAGGCGGCCCCCUGGACAAAGACUGACGCUCAGGUGCGAAAGCGUGGGGAGCAAACAGGAUUAGAUACCCUGGUAGUCCACGCUGUAAACGAUGUCGAUUUGGAGGUUGUGCCCUUGAGGCGUGGCUUCCGGAGCUAACGCGUUAAAUCGACCGCCUGGGGAGUACGGCCGCAAGGUUAAAACUCAAAUGAAUUGACGGGGGCCCGCACAAGCGGUGGAGCAUGUGGUUUAAUUCGAUGCAACGCGAAGAACCUUACCUGGUCUUGACAUCCACAGAACUUUCCAGAGAUGGAUUGGUGCCUUCGGGAACUGUGAGACAGGUGCUGCAUGGCUGUCGUCAGCUCGUGUUGUGAAAUGUUGGGUUAAGUCCCGCAACGAGCGCAACCCUUAUCCUUUGUUGCCAGCGGUUAGGCCGGGAACUCAAAGGAGACUGCCAGUGAUAAACUGGAGGAAGGUGGGGAUGACGUCAAGUCAUCAUGGCCCUUACGACCAGGGCUACACACGUGCUACAAUGGCAUAUACAAAGAGAAGCGACCUCGCGAGAGCAAGCGGACCUCAUAAAGUAUGUCGUAGUCCGGAUUGGAGUCUGCAACUCGACUCCAUGAAGUCGGAAUCGCUAGUAAUCGUAGAUCAGAAUGCUACGGUGAAUACGUUCCCGGGCCUUGUACACACCGCCCGUCACACCAUGGGAGUGGGUUGCAAAAGAAGUAGGUAGCUUAACCUUCGGGAGGGCGCUACC